UUUGAUUGCAGUUUUCUUUCUCUUUACAGAAUCUGAGCCAGUCACCAUAAAUAUCCAAGACCUACUUUCCUGUUCUAAUUUUGCAGUGCAACACAGAUAUCUGUUUGAAGAAGACAAUCUUUUACGGUCUACACAAAAGCUUUCCCAUUCAACAAAACCUUCAGGAAGCCCUUUGGAAGAAAAGCACGAUCAGUGCAAAUGUGAAAACCUUAUAAUGUUCCAGAACCUUGCAAACGAAGAAGUAAGAAAAUUAACACAGCGCUUAGAAGAAAUGACACAGAGAAUGGAAGCCCUGGAAAAUCGCCUGAGAUACAGAUGAAGAUUAGAAAUCACGACACAUUUGUAGUCAUUGUAUCGAGGAUUACAAUGAACGCAGUGCAGAGCCCCAAAGUUCAGGCUAUUGUUAAAUCAAUAAUGUUGUGAAGUAAAACAAUCAGUACUGAGAAAGCUGGUUUGCCACAGAACAAAGACAAGAAGUAUAUACUAACUUGUAUAAAUUUAUCUAGGAAAAAAAUCCUUCAGAAUUCUAAGAUGAAUUUACCAGGUGAGAAUGAAUAAGCUAUGCAAGGUAUUUUGUAAUAUACUGUGGACACAACUUGCUUUUGCCUCAUCCUGCCUUAGUGUGCAAUCUCAUUUGACUAUACGAUAAAGUUUGCACAGUCUUACUUCUGUAGAACACUGGCCAUAGGAAAUGCUGUUUUUUUGUAUUGGACUUUACCUUGAUAUAUGUAUAUGGUUGUAUGCAUAAAAUCAUAGGACAUAUGUACUUGUGGAACAAGUUGGAUUUUUUAUACAAUAUUAAAAUUC
This 807-nucleotide long non-coding RNA is filed under the name Pan troglodytes (chimpanzee). RNAcentral's name for it is "long non-coding RNA NONPTRT016784". The record is from RNAcentral. Lineage: Eukaryota; Metazoa; Chordata; Mammalia; Primates; Hominidae.